Molecule: non-coding RNA, 168 nt
Organism: Coffea arabica (coffee)
Lineage: Eukaryota; Viridiplantae; Streptophyta; Magnoliopsida; Gentianales; Rubiaceae
Source: RefSeq, a predicted model, not a curated record
GUUUCAAUGGCAAAACUAGGAUUUGCAAGAAAAAGAGGAUUGAAGAGAGUGAACAGUUCAAAGCCAUUUAAGAAGUUCAAAAAUCUGAAGCUAAAUCCUAGAGCAGAAAAACUUGUACCUAAGCAACCUCUAGAAAAUGACUCAGAGGAUUGGUCUGAUGAAAAUUUU